CCUACGGGGGGCUGCAGUGGGGAAUAUUGCACAAUGGGCGCAAGCCUGAUGCAGCCAUGCCGCGUGUGUGAAGAAGGCCUUCGGGUUGUAAAGCACUUUCAGCGGGGAGGAAGGCGUUAAGGUUAAUAACCUUGUCGAUUGACGUUACCCGCAGAAGAAGCACCGGCUAACUCCGUGCCAGCAGCCGCGGUAAUACGGAGGGUGCAAGCGUUAAUCGGAAUUACUGGGCGUAAAGCGCACGCAGGCGGUCUGUCAAGUCGGAUGUGAAAUCCCCGGGCUCAACCUGGGAACUGCAUUCGAAACUGGCAGGCUAGAGUCUUGUAGAGGGGGGUAGAAUUCCAGGUGUAGCGGUGAAAUGCGUAGAGAUCUGGAGGAAUACCGGUGGCGAGGGCGGCCCCCUGGACAAAGACUGACGCUCAGGUGCGAAAGCGUGGGGAGCAAACAGGAUUAGAUACCCGGGUAGUC
Molecule: ribosomal RNA, 465 nt
Filed under: uncultured Klebsiella sp.
Lineage: Bacteria; Pseudomonadati; Pseudomonadota; Gammaproteobacteria; Enterobacterales; Enterobacteriaceae
Description: bacterial SSU rRNA
Rfam family: Bacterial small subunit ribosomal RNA
Source: RNAcentral